UCGUAACAAGGUCUCCGUUGGUGAACCAGCGGAGGGAUCAUUACAGAGUUGAAAGACUCCCAAACCAAUGUGAACUUACCCGUGACGUUGCUUCGGCGGGCGGCUCCAGGGGGAGCCGUCGCCCCCCGCGAGGGUGGUGCCCGCCGGAGGACCCCAAACCAUACUUGAAUCAGUGGCCCAUCUGAGACAGCUUCAAUAAUCAAAACUUUCAACAACGGAUCUCUUGGUUCUGGCAUCGAUGAAGAACGCAGCGAAAUGCGAUAAGUAAUGUGAAUUGCAGACUUCAGUGAAUCAUCGAAUCUUUGAACGCACAUUGCGCCCGCCAGCAUUCUGGCGGGCAUGCCUGUCCGAGCGUCAUUUCAACCCUCAAGCCCAGCUUGGUGUUGGGGCACCACGGCCCGGCCGUGGGCCCCGAAAUUUAGUGGCGGGCCCUCUGGGAGUCCGGGCGUAGUAGCGAUAUGUCGCCCGCGGCCCCCCGGAGGCGCUCCUGCCGUUAAACCCCCCAAAUCACAGAAGGUUGACCUCGGAUCAGGUAGGACUACCCGCUGAACCUAAGCAUAUCU
This 563-nucleotide unclassified non-coding RNA is filed under the name Phialemonium obovatum. RNAcentral describes it as "sequence contains 18S rRNA gene, ITS1, 5.8S rRNA gene, ITS2, 28S rRNA gene". The stretch from base 204 to 357 matches the Rfam family "5.8S ribosomal RNA". Lineage: Eukaryota; Fungi; Ascomycota; Sordariomycetes; Cephalothecales; Cephalothecaceae. The record is from RNAcentral.